RNAcentral lists this ribosomal RNA (376 nucleotides) under uncultured Legionella sp. RNAcentral's name for it is "bacterial SSU rRNA". It matches the Rfam family "Bacterial small subunit ribosomal RNA", at positions 283 to 651 of the family's 1533-position model. The record is from RNAcentral. Lineage: Bacteria; Pseudomonadati; Pseudomonadota; Gammaproteobacteria; Legionellales; Legionellaceae.
GUAGCUGGUCUGAGAGGAUGGCCAGCCACACUGGGACUGAGACACGGYCCAGACUCCUACGGGAGGCAGCAGUGGGGAAUAUUGGACAAUGGGGGCAACCCUGAUCCAGCAAUGCCGCGUGUGUGAAGAAGGCCUGAGGGUUGUAAAGCACUUUCAGUGGGGAGGAGGAUUGACAGGUUAAGAGCUAGUUAAUUGGACGUUACCCACAGAAGAAGCACCGGCUAACUCCGUGCCAGCAGCCGCGGUAAUACGGAGGGUGCAAGCGUUAAUCGGAAUUACUGGGCGUAAAGGGUGCGUAGGUGGUUUGAUAAGUUAUCUGUGAAAUCCCYGGGCUUAACCUGGGMAGGUCAGAUAAUACUGUUAGACUCGAGUAUGG